GGCUAAAGUAGAUUGGGCUCAAAUGGGCUUGGGUUAUGACCCGCUUAAUUUCAAUAAUUUUAACAUAUUGUUAUUUAACUUUUAUAAUCACAAUUUGAAUUUUAACUCAAGAAAAUUAAGAAAGAAGAAGUUACAAAUGGAUAAAUAAAUCUUAGAAUAUAUAAAAUAGACAGUAGUAGUUCAUAUCUUCAAUUAGGAACAUGCAUUAC
Molecule: long non-coding RNA, 209 nt
Filed under: Solanum tuberosum (potato)
Lineage: Eukaryota; Viridiplantae; Streptophyta; Magnoliopsida; Solanales; Solanaceae
Description: long non-coding RNA (STUB_LNC011796)
Source: RNAcentral